UACGAAGGGGGCUAGCGUUGCUCGGAAUCACUGGGCGUAAAGCGCACGUAGGCGGAUCGCUAAGUCGGGGGUGAAAUCCUGGAGCUCAACUCCAGAACUGCCUUCGAUACUGGCGAUCUUGGAGUCCGGGAGAGGUGAGUGGAACUCCGAGUGUAGAGGUGAAAUUCGUAGAUAUUCGGAAGAACACCAGUGGCGAAGGCGGCUCACUGGCCCGGUACUGACGCUGAGGUGCGAAAGCGUGGGGA
This 245-nucleotide ribosomal RNA is filed under the name uncultured Blastochloris sp. RNAcentral describes it as "partial 16S ribosomal RNA". It matches the Rfam family "Bacterial small subunit ribosomal RNA", at positions 524 to 767 of the family's 1533-position model. Lineage: Bacteria; Pseudomonadati; Pseudomonadota; Alphaproteobacteria; Hyphomicrobiales; Blastochloridaceae. The record is from RNAcentral.